CUAGUGGCGCACGGGUGCGUAACGCGUGGGAAUCUGCCCUUUGCUACGGAAUAACUCAGAGAAAUUUGUGCUAAUACCGUAUGAUGUCGCAAGACCAAAGAUUUAUCGGCAAAGGAUGAGCCCGCGUAAGAUUAGCUUGUUGGUGAGGUAAAAGCUCACCAAGGCGACGAUCUUUAGCUGGUCUGAGAGGAUGAUCAGCCACACUGGGACUGAGACACGGCCCAGACUCCUACGGGAGGCAGCAGUGGGGAAUAUUGGACAAUGGGCGAAAGCCUGAUCCAGCAAUGCCGCGUGAGUGAUGAAGGCCUUAGGGUUGUAAAGCUCUUUUACCAGGGAUGAUAAUGACAGUACCUGGAGAAUAAGCUCCGGCUAACUCCGUGCCAGCAGCCGCGGUAAUACGGAGGGAGCUAGCGUUGUUCGGAAUUACUGGGCGUAAAGCGUGCGUAGGCGGUUAUUCAAGUCAGAGGUGAAAGCCUGGAGCUCAACUCCAGAACUGCCUUUGAAACUAGAUAACUAGAAUCUUGGAGAGGUGAGUGGAAUUCCGAGUGUAGAGGUGAAAUUCGUAGAUAUUCGGAAGAACACCAGUGGCGAAGGCGACUCACUGGACAAGUAUUGACGCUGAG
Molecule: ribosomal RNA, 623 nt
Filed under: Sphingorhabdus wooponensis
Lineage: Bacteria; Pseudomonadati; Pseudomonadota; Alphaproteobacteria; Sphingomonadales; Sphingorhabdaceae
Description: bacterial SSU rRNA
Rfam family: Bacterial small subunit ribosomal RNA
Source: RNAcentral